GAGGUUAAUUGUCCUGUCUCAUCUGUACACGUUCAGCAAGUGUGCGUAAGAAAUGUCAAAAACAACUCUAUACCCCAGAAGGCAUUUCCCCACUUGUCAGACUAACAGCUGAUUUCUCAUGUUUACAUUUUCUCGGCAUAUCGUGAUAGGGUAAAUAUAACAACAACAUUACGCAUGCUCAAUGACCAGAUAGAAACGAAAUAAAAUUGACAAUGAAAUUGUAGUGGUUUUGGAAGCGCACCUUGGUGAGGAGAACAUAAAUUCUUUAUUGAAUGUUUUGUAAAUUCAUAACAAGUUAAGACAUAAAGGUAUGUUGAUGCUUUUAAUUAAAGAAGUUUUUAAAAGAAAGCAUUGAACAGUGCUUAUCAUCAAAGAUCAAAAUGGCGACCAGUUGUUGUUUACAUUUUUCAAAACAAAAACAAAAAGCUACCCUACCACAACCUGUCUCAGGAAAUACUCUAUUCAAUUUCAAUGUGUCCAUUGCAACUUUCAAACAACGGAUUGAGCAUAGCAUGAGUGAACGAUUAAGAAACUAGCAAACAAUUUAUGUAAACCUAGAUUUAAGUUUUAUUCAUUCAGACACCCACCUUUGUCAGACGAUAUCAAGAUAAUAAACAAAUAUGACCCGUUUUAGAGUUUAAAAUUUUUAAACCUAAUACCCGGACUUGCACGGUCUAGAUAAGUACAGAAAAAAUAUCUGGAAAGCUUACUCAAUAACUUAUGGGUUAGAUAGUGAAUAAAUACAUGACAUUCAUUCCAUUGGAGGAGCCCGGAUUUUGCCCGGGUUUAUUCUCAUUCCCAUUCUCAAAUCUAACUAAAAAAAACAAGUUGUAUUGUAAAACUAUGCGUCCAAAACGAAAUUUUUUUAGCAAGUUUCAUAAAAAUAAUAAUAUAAGGUUUUUUGAAAAUCUUAAAUACAAUUAAAUAUCUGCUGAUAAACUUAGAUGAAAGAAAAGGACAGAUUUUAAUAACAUAAAUCCACAAAUUAGAAUAAAAAUAAAAAAACUAAAAUAGAGACGAACCAGCCAAAGGCUGAAAAUCUCUCUAAUAAAGACAAAAAAAAACUAUAAAAAAAACUAAUGAUUUUAAAGUUAUUUCUGUAAAACUGAUGUUCAUUGAUCAUUCAUUUAUUUGGUUUUGUUUUUUUUUUAUUAUAAACAAAAACAAUAAAUCUUUAAUGUGGCUCUUUUAAACUCUGAUAUUUUGAAUAUUUUGGCUCUUCCGACUCAAAAGGUGGCCGACCACUGAUUAAGGGUACAUUUUGGAAGAACGAGUCAAUCAGGUGGGCUAGUUUACUUGCCAGUAUUCCGGCAUCCGUGUAUAUGUGUCCACCUGCUGGCACCUGCUUGAACAUUAAACUGAGUCGAUUUGAGGUCAUUUUUUAAUUUCUUAAAUCCUGGGGUCUAAAUGGCAUGCAGGACUUAAAAUAUUGUCCCUCACAAAACGUGUUCAUUCUCGGGAACCGUGUAAAACAAACGUGCUUAUGGCGAAAAAAACCUUGUAAUAAGAUGUCAUGUAAGACAAAACUUAACAAACUUAAUCGACGUAAAAAACCUUAGUGUUCUUUCUAUUAACAACUUUGGCUGAUGGUAUAAGAUUUUUCAAAAGUUUCUCAAAUGUACCGUUUUUUUUUAAAGUAUAUGCCAAGCCUAUGUUAAGCUCAACUACUUUAAGCUCUUUCCAAAUUCCAACCUGGCCGUGCAAUUUUUGAUGGAGACGCUUGGUUUAUGGAGAAACUUCUUCGGUGGUUUUUGCGUUGAUUGAAACUUUCAUUUUCGUACAAUUUUCGGACCUGUUACAUGUUUCAUCAUCCUGUGACACGGAAUUUAACAUCCUCAGUAUAUGCAUUCGUGGCCUAACAUUUUUUUAAGGCAGUGUGUAAAAUUUGGCAAUUUACUAUUCGCUUGCAAAAGACUAAACCUUUUACUGCUAUCAGAAAAAAAUACAACUGAUAUCAAGAUAGAAUGGAUAAACAAUUUCUUAGCCAAUAUUUCAUUUUUUUUGCCUUUUGUGGUACCAAAUCAAAAUAUUUGUUCGGUUGACAUUCCCAACUCUCUGGAGCCACUACGUGAAAUUAUUGGUUUGUAAAAUUCUAUAAAUCACCUAUCAAAAACUGAACCCACCGUACAUUUUGCGUUAAGGACAUACUUACUGUCAACGUGGGUUCCAUUUCAUAAAGGAUCAAUUCAAAAAAAAAUAAAAGUUCAAUGGCACCAUGUAAUGUCAUGAGAGCUACCAAAAUGGGUUAACUUUUUUAAGAUUGUUCAUCACUGUUAAUGAGGUGUUAAUAUGUUCGACCGCUCGGCUCAUUAACAGUGAUGAAUACCACCCAUAAAACAGUAAGCCCAUUUUUGAAGUCGUGAUCCGAUCUGGCCCAAAUUUGGCAUGAGAUCUUGCACUAGGCCUAGGAUAAAUUUUAGAAAGCAGUGCAUAUAUUUUACAGGUUUCAAAUUUCCCAUACAAAUUUGGGCCGAGUGAGGCAUUUAUAGCACUAAAAUAUCGUAUCUCGGCUUGAAAUAGUCGGGAAUUUUUAGGAAGAACACUCUGAUUCUCUAGAAUGAAGAAUAUAAUCGUUCACCAUACAAUUUCUUAUUUAUCUUCUAGGGGCUACCAAUGUGGGAUCCGUUCAGAUCUACAUUGACGAUAAGCUGAAAACCAACAAAUGGGUCGGCCUGGAGGUUGGCACCCAUCGCUGUAAAGAGUACGACGAGCUGAGCCUUCCGCAGGAUACAUUCCUCAGCAAGGGCGAACUGUUGGGACAGUUCAACAUGGGCAGCACCAUAGUGCUGAUAUUCGAGGCUCCACGAGAUUUCAAGUUCAACCUUGAAACGGGUCAGGUCGUUCGGAUGGGUCAACGGCUGGGUUGCGCCGGUGAGAAAGACAGCGACAAUGAGGACCCAACGAAAAUCAGGAAGCUGAUUCAGGCUAUCUGAUCCGAAACGAUUGCGAUCGACAAUCGCUACAACGUACCUACUUCAGGAGACGUAUUAGUAUCUUAGAGAAGUUUUGCAAUUGCGUGAUAUCUGCGGCGUGUGUUCGUGUUAGAUUUCCUGUUUUCUUUACAUGAGAAUUCCCUUAAAGAUUGUGUCCUCCCAAGCAAUCGGAUUGUUCAAGUUUCAAUUCCUAAUGGAUACACUGUUCAAAAGACAAACACACCUCGAGGGAUGAACGUUUUUUGUAUUACGCUAUUUCCCAACGUAUUUCUCGAUACAAUUCCUAACAUAUUGAGCAACACGGGAAACGAAUGAUAUAGAUUAGGCUUUCAAAUGACGUAGUACAUAUUGUACAUGUAUUCUAUGAAACUCAACUACUAGCAAGCACACACAUCAAUCAGUCAUUCGGCACUCUACAGUAAGAGGAUGGCUCAAACAGUGCCAUUCUUCUCUCGAAGCGUACGAAUUUACGUUUGUUCAUUAAUUUUAACUGCUUACUUUGCCCCUCAUGAGAAUGAUAUAAAAACUGUUGAGUGAUAUUACCCAGAGUUUAUCUGAAUAAAAACCAUUUAUAUAAAAUAGAA
This is a long non-coding RNA of Uranotaenia lowii, 3517 nucleotides long. RefSeq lists it as uncharacterized. NCBI's taxonomy places the organism in Eukaryota, Metazoa, Arthropoda, Insecta, Diptera, Culicidae. The transcript has 2 exons. The record is from RefSeq and is a predicted model, not a curated record.